RNAcentral lists this ribosomal RNA (261 nucleotides) under uncultured prokaryote. RNAcentral describes it as "partial 16S ribosomal RNA". It matches the Rfam family "Bacterial small subunit ribosomal RNA", at positions 524 to 784 of the family's 1533-position model. The record is from RNAcentral.
CACGUAGGGGCGAAGCGUUGUCCGGAAUUACUGGGCGUAAAGCGCGCGCAGGCUGUUUGGUCAGCAGCGGGUGAAAUCACAGGGCUCAACUCUGUGGCUGCUCGCUGAACUGCCAGACUAGGGUUCGGGAGAGGGCAGUGGAAUUCCUGGUGUAGCGGUGGAAUGCGUAAAUACCAGGAGGAACACCCGUGGCGAAAGCUGCUGCCUGGAACGAUACCGACGCUGAGGCGCGAAAGCUAGGGGAGCGAACGGGAUUAGAUA